CAUGAAAGAAAUCCAUUGGGAAGAAAUCUUUUCACCGUGUCUUAUCCUUCUUUGCUACUUUAUGUGCUCUCAGCACAGGAUAGAGCGACCUUUUACCGAAGACCAUUGGGCUUGAUGCAUACCAGUGACGAGCACCGACCCUACCCUGAUAUUGAUAUCCAGAACUUCAGAAGGAGUCCGUGAGGAGCUAGGUGCUGUGAAGGGUUCUGGCUGAGAGUCUUUUCUCUGCACUGGUAACACCCGCCCUAGUCCUUGACGAUCAGUACUUUGCUUUGAUGGUGUCGGUACAUCAUCCUGCCAAUUGACAGCCUCACUCUUCCCCCUUUGACAUCAGUAGCAUUUAUUAAGGGUGUAAAAGGUGGACCCCGAGUUGCUGCUAUCGGAUGAAAGUGGCAUGGGUCAGGUCAAGUCAUGGGUAUUUUGGGCUGCAGUGACCAUGUACAUACUCAAUGUGCAAUGUGGUGUGUUGACAGGCAUAAUGCAUAUGGGCCAAUCUCCAGGAGAUGGUGUCCCAGGAGAAUCUCUUCCUUCACCAGGUACCACAAUGCCCCACCAGAUGUCACUCAAGCAGUCCAACAUCGGAGCAAUGUUUUGGUUUUCCGCUACUGCAUCAGUCGUGUCAAGCGCUUGCGCUCAGCUUUCUUGGUGAUGAGCACAUGCACCUCACCGCAACAGCGAGUGCUUGGUGUGCCUCACCCACUGGAAUUGCGAUAUCAGUACUCACACUUUCAGCCUGACAGUCAGACAGUCACAUUUUCUGAUUAGAUCUGCUAUUUUGGCCCAGUGCCUGACAUUCAGGUCAUCCUGUCCAAAGGACUUUUGCACACGCCCCUUGCACACACCCCAAAGGUCUCUUAGGAGGCAUAUUGCCUGCAAACCGAGCCCCAUCCCCUGGCGCACCCGGGCGGCCCUGCAUCACACAAUUCCACCGCAACCCUGACCCUAGCAUUAUACACCCCUGGCGCUUGAUUUCACCACCCCUGUUGUCACCCCCAGGCCUGGAGAGCGCCGCGUCGGAGCAGGCGUCCUUCUCGGAGCGGGACAGCGACGCCGAUCUGGCCGAGCGGCACGCGGCGGCCGUGGCGGCGGCGGCCGCAAAUGCGCGUCCGAUGGGAUUAGUCGAGCGCAUGGACUCGGCAAACUACCAGCCGCGGCCGCCCGCUAUGACCGAGCGGCAGGACUCUGCGCAGAACCUUCAGGUGCAGUGAG
Molecule: long non-coding RNA, 1209 nt
Filed under: Coccomyxa subellipsoidea
Lineage: Eukaryota; Viridiplantae; Chlorophyta; Trebouxiophyceae; Coccomyxaceae
Description: long non-coding RNA (CSUB_LNC000175)
Source: RNAcentral